This 253-nucleotide ribosomal RNA is filed under the name uncultured bacterium. Its description in RNAcentral is "partial 16S ribosomal RNA". It matches the Rfam family "Bacterial small subunit ribosomal RNA", at positions 524 to 776 of the family's 1533-position model. The record is from RNAcentral.
UACGUAGGGCGCAAGCGUUGUCCGGAAUUAUUGGGCGUAAAGAGCUCGUAGGCGGCUUGUCACGUCGGGUGUGAAAGCCCGGGGCUUAACCCCGGGUCUGCAUUCGAUACGGGCUAGCUAGAGUGUGGUAGGGGAGAUCGGAAUUCCUGGUGUAGCGGUGAAAUGCGCAGAUAUCGGGAGGAACACCAGUAGCGAAGGCGGCACUCUGGGCCGGUACUGACGCUGAGGAGCGAAAGCGUGGGGAGCAAACAGG